CAUGUGGGCACAGCGAACU
This 19-nucleotide non-coding RNA is filed under the name Mus musculus (house mouse). The record is from RNAcentral. Lineage: Eukaryota; Metazoa; Chordata; Mammalia; Rodentia; Muridae.